UACGUAGGGCGCGAGCGUUAAUCGGAAUUACUGGGCGUAAAGCGUGCGCAGGCGGUUUUGUAAGUCAGAUGUUAAAUCCCCGGGCUUAACCUGGGAAUGGCAUUUGGGACUGCAAGGCUCGAGUGCGGCAGAGGAGACUGGAAUUCCUGGUGUAGCAGUGAAAUGCGUAGAUAUCAGGAGGAACACCGAUGGCGAAGGCAGGUCUCUGGGCUGACACUGACGCUCAUGCACGAAAGCGUGGGGAGCAAACGGG
Molecule: ribosomal RNA, 253 nt
Filed under: uncultured bacterium
Lineage: Bacteria
Description: partial 16S ribosomal RNA
Rfam family: Bacterial small subunit ribosomal RNA
Source: RNAcentral